CAUAGCUCUCUCAUUGACUAAUACUCUGACUUGGGGAGCACAUCCAAGGUCCCCACCACUCCUUCAUAAAUCUGUGAUCUACAGGAGAGGAAGGGCCUUGUACUCCAAAAUGAACAAACAUGGAAAGACUGAAAGGUAAAAAUGGACAAUCUUCACUUAAAGCCAAAAGAGGCAGCCAUCUGAAGACAAGAGGAGUGAAUGUUUUUAUUCUGAGGAACCAGUGGGGUAGGUCAUUUAAGAUUAGGACAGGGACCCUGAAGGUCAAUUAAAAAGUAAAC
Long non-coding RNA from Heterocephalus glaber (naked mole-rat), 278 nucleotides. Lineage: Eukaryota; Metazoa; Chordata; Mammalia; Rodentia; Bathyergidae. The record is from Ensembl.